Molecule: long non-coding RNA, 7329 nt
Organism: Cherax quadricarinatus
Lineage: Eukaryota; Metazoa; Arthropoda; Malacostraca; Decapoda; Parastacidae
Source: RefSeq, a predicted model, not a curated record
UUAUGUUUCUAAGAUUAUUAUUAUUUACAGGUAACUAGUAAUCUUGCAGCAUAAGAUGUACUCACAGAUUUGAGCUGUAGGGACAUGCUGGCUUAGGAGUAGUCAACUCAGAAGACCUUCGCUAGAGGCAGUCGCCAUAUGUUAUGCUGGUGUACCAUGUACAACACAUCACACCAUCACAGUUCAGGGGACACAGUGCUCUAGCUGGAGGACUACUUGUAUUAAGAAAUAUCUCUGAAAUUCCCACUUCUGAAUGUCAUAGUAACCCAGAAACCCUGACCAGCAUUUGAAGAAAAUAUAGGAGAGUGCCACCUCACCCCAUGACAUGUGCAUAUAUCUGCACUACUUUACAGAUAAGUACCUCCCUACCACAUGACAUGCUAGCACCUCCCUACCAAAUGACAUGCUAGUACCUACCCACCAUAUGACAUGCUAGUACCUCUCACACCAUAUGACAUGCUAGUACCUCUCCCACCAUAUGACAUGCAAGUACCUCCCCACAUGACAUACUAGUACCUCCCCACCACAGGACAUGCUAGUACCUCCUGCACCACAUGACAAGUAUACUCAUCCUCACCAAGUGACAGGCAAGUACAUCCAAGUUCUAUACUAAAGGAAGGUAACCAGCUAAUGACUCUACUUUAUUUGAAAUUUAUUAAAGUGAUCAUUGAGAGCAGAUAAUAAACUUUAAAUAUAAAAAUAAUAAUAACUGUUUCCUCAGACUUGAACUAAAAAUCUUAAUGUUAGACAAAAGGAGUUCAUAAGGAAAACAAAAGACUUACUGUUAUUCUUUGUUCUUAAUUAUAAAUGUACUCUAUAUUGGUAGCACAUGUGAGUGAGGUAAAAGUGGGAGUAUUGGAGUUUUGAGAUUAAACAAUCAUCAUUAAUAAUUCAUAUGAAAGUUCUUAUAUUAGAAGAGCAGCCACAACAGUGUUCAUCGUGUGUUUAAUUAACAUGGAAAAUCAUACAGACAUGGAAAAUAACACAGAAGAGAAACUACAUCACUGUCCGGAAUGUCUGAAAGACUUUGAAAAAGAGUCUUCUCUUGUAAUGCAUCUGAAGAAUCAUAAAAAAGAGAAGAUACACCAGUGUUCAGUUUGUUUCAAAAACUUUACAACAAAAUAUAAGUUAGAAAGGCAUACAAAGGUUCAUACGGGUGAGAAGCCAUACAUAUGUGUAGUGUGUCUAAAAGUGUGUUCAGAAAAAUCAAACUUACUUAGUCAUUUAAGAAUUCAUACAGGUGAAAAACCACACAAAUGUUCAGUGUGUCCAAAAGCCUUUUCAAGAAAGUCUGAUCUAAUUAUACAUACUAGAAUUCACACAGGGGAAAAACCAUAUCAUUGUCCAGUGUGUGAAAAAGAAUUUUCAGGAAAAACUAACCUAACUACACACAUGAAAACUCAUACACAAGAGAAAAAUUAUCAAUGUUUGCAAUGUCUAAAAUUGUUUUCACAAAAAGUUUCCCUUGUAACACACAUGAGAAUCCAUACUGGAGAGAAACCCCAUCAUUGUUUUGAAUGUUUUAAAGAUUUUACACGUAAGUCUGAUUUAGUGAGGCACAUGAGAGUUCAUACAGGUGAGAAACCCUAUCAGUGUUCAAAAUGUGUGAAAAUGUUUUCACAGAAAUCACAUCUGGUAAAGCAUUUAAUGGCUCAUAAAAAAGAAACCAUUUAAAGUUCAUAAUUAACAAAAAAAAAAAAAAAGGGCACAAUACUGUGACUGGAACGAUACACAAAUAACCCGCACAUAAAAGAGAGAAGCUUACGACAACGUUUCAGUCCGACUUGGACCAUAUACAGUGUGACUUUGUAAAUGGUCCAAGUCGGACCGAAACGUCGUCGUAAGCUUCUCUCUUUUAUGUGCGGGUUAUUUUUGUAUAAAGUUCAUAAUAUCUAAAGCAGUUUACGAAAAUCUGGACUUGUUUACUGUGUGAGAGUUCAUGCAAUAGAAAAGCCAUACUAGUAGGUGUAGAAGACUUGAGUAAAUUCUAGUAGGGUAUGAGGGCUCAUACGUGAGCAUAAACAUACCAAGUAAGACAUUUGACAGGUCAUAAGAGCAACAAACCAUUCAAUAUGUUUGACAUUCUGGUAUAGUGCAUAAAGGUGAGAAGAAAUCUUAUUUCCAUAAUUUGAAUAAAUUCCAUUUAUGCCAAAACUAGCUGAAUACAUCAUUGUGGACAGUCUGCCAUGUUGCUUAGACUUUUCAUGCCAUGAGAGAGUUCAUCCAGUUGCUAACCUCAUGGCAAUUCCAGGGAUCAUUUUUCCUUUCUGACUAGUCCCAGACCAGGUCACCUAGUGGAUGGCUUGAUUGACUAGAAUGUUGGUGCUAGUGCUACAUAGGCACAACAGCCCGACUGAUCAGGAACUAGCUUAAGGAACUUAUCCAAGUCCCUCUUGAAGACAGCUAGGGGUGUGUUGGUAAUUUCCCUUGUAUACAAAUUGUAGGUGUUGACAAGUCUUGGUCUUGUUACGCUUAUCUCUCAGUGUACUGAUUGCACCCCUGCUUUUAAUUUGGAGGUAUUUUAACCAUCUGCCAAACUUCUUUUAUUUGUAGGAAAUAAUUUAGUGUGCAGAUUUGGGACCAAUCCCUCCAGAAUUUUCCAUGUGUAAAUCAUGAUGUGUCUUUCUUAACUUUGUUCCAGAGAGUACAUAUAAAUGGACUAAAGGCAUUUCUAGUAAUUUAGAUGCUUGAUAAUUUUUACAGACGGUAACUGUUCUCUGUUCAUUCCCAGGUCUGCAAUUUUGCCUACCUUAAAAAAGCACUGUUAGUGUGCAGCAGUAUUCUCAUCUGGAGGACACAAAUGACUUAGAGAAUCAUGAUUGGCUUAACAUCUCUUUGUUUUGAAGGUUCUAGCUAUUCAGCCUAUCAGUUUCCUUGCAUUUGUAAUAAAAACUGCUGUGAUCCUUUAAUGUUCAAUCUUUGACAUUAUUGCUUGUAAGGUCCUCACAUCCCUGGUUUGAAUCUGUUUUAUACUCCAUUCCAGUUAUUAAUUCUUCAGUUUCUUUUGUAGCAGAGCAACCGAAAUUGAUCAUCUUUGAACAUCAUAUUGUUUUCUGUGGCCCACUGGAAGACCUGCUUGAUGCCAGCUUGAAGACUGUGUGUGUCUUCAGUGGCUCUCACUGAUUUAUAAAUUUUAAUAUAGUCUACAAUGAUGAGUCAGUGCUAUGACUUACGUCUCUGUCAAUAUCAGAUAUGAGAAUGAGAAAGGUGAAUUGGAGCAAGUAUUGCCUUGAGGAACAGAGCUUUUCGUACUUUAUUGACUGUUUCUUUCUACAUCUCAUUUGAUAGAAAAUUUAAAAUUCAUCAUUCUGCUUUAACAGUUAUUCUUUUUGCACACAUUUUAUGUGCUAUUAUUAUACCAUAAUCACCCAUGACAGGUUUUGCAGGGCCUGUGUAUACUGCAUUUGCUUUUUGUUUGUCUUCUAGUGCCUCCAGGGCAUAUCAUGAUGGUCCAGUAAUUGUGAGAGCCAGGAGUGACCUCCUCUAAAUCCAUGCUGCCCUGGGUUAUGCAGUUGUUGUGAUUCCAUACGUUUAACAGUUUUCCUUCUUAAAAAUCUUUCAAAGGCUUCGAUGUGGGACAUUGGUGUCAUUGGUCAGUAGUUGUUUGCACUUUGUGGAGUGGGAUAGUGUCAGUGGCUUUUAAUAACUGUGGGAUUACCCUUUUCCAAACUGUCUCAAUAGGAUAUAAAAUUUAAGCUUAAUAGUUUUUUUUUUUUAAUUUGAGCCUGGGUCUUAGGCAGAAUACAUGGGCGUUCUAUCAUUGUCUUUCCCCAAGAUAAUUGGGUUAGGAUUAUGUCAGAAAUUUUUGAGAUUUGGAAGAUUUGUUAUUAGGCAUCUUUUUUUUCAUCUGUCUCUUCUGGACAGUGUAUGAUGCAUUAAGUUUUGUCUCAAGAUUUUCCAUUUCUAAUUAGUAUUUUAUUUUACUCUUGAGAGAGUGUGAGAGCCCUGAGAAGUUUAGUGAUUUUUCAUGUAGUGGCUGGAGUGAAAUGUCUAACUUAGCACUCCUACUGGCACUACCCAUGUAUACUUAAUAUUCAUAUUUUAUAACAUAAAUGAUGUAAGAUGUGGGUAAUAUUUUUUCAAUUCAGGGACAGUUUUUAUACCAUAAGUUGUUUUUCUACAUUCAGUAGCACAUACUAUGUGUACGAAUGGUAUAUAAUACCGACAAGAUGAUGAGAUUAAGACACAUGUGCAACAUCUGGGUAUCUUUAUUGUAGACGUUUCGCCAUCCAGUGGCUUUAUCAAUACAAAUUCUAGGACAUAACUUGAAGACAGUAGAACUAUGUACAGAAGAUGAGGUAAUCAGUCCCUCAACCUAGGAGUAGGUGCGAAGAGCACCAUAGUCGUGGAGAUUCUGAAGCAGAAGAAAGGAUCCUGGCGCUUAUAUAGUAACGUCAGGUGUAGCAGACGAGGGCAUAUUCACUGGUAGGUGGGAUUCCCCAGUGGAAGUAGGUCCUUCCCAAAGAGAUGGGUUAGUUGUAGUAGUAGUUGUCGUAGUCGUGAAGGUUAUGUACAUGUCCUCAGAAUUAAGAUUCCAUGAUGUUGCAGUGUCUGACAAGUUGUGUACGAAUGGUAUAUAAUACCGACAAGAUGAUGAGAUUAAGACACAUGUGCAACAUCUGGGUAUCUUUAUUGUAGACGUUUCGCCAUCCAGUGGCUUUAUCAAUACAAAUUCUAGGACAUAACUUGAAGACAGUAGAACUAUGUACAGAAGAUGCGGUAAUCAGUCCCUCAACCUAGGAGUAGGUGCGAAGAGCACCAUAGUCGUGGAGAUUCUGAAGCAGAAGAAAGGAUCCUGGCGCUUAUAUAGUAACGUCAGGUGUAGCAGACGAGGGCAUAUUCACUGGUAGGUGGGAUUUCCCAGUGGAAGUAGGUCCUUCCCAAAGAGAUGGGUUAGUUGUAGUAGUAGUUGUCGUAGUCGUGAAGGUUAUGUACAUGUCCUCAGAAUUAUAUACCAUUCGUACACAACUUGUCAGACACUGCAACAUCAUGGAAUCUUAAUUCUGAGGACAUGUACAUAACCUUCACGACUACGACAACUACUACUACAACUAACCCAUCUCUUUGGGAAAGACCUACUUCCACUGGGGAAUCCCGCCUACCAGUGAAUAUGCCCUCGUCUGCUACACCUGACGUUACUAUAUAAGCGCCAGGAUCCUUUCUUCUGCUUCAGAAUCUCCACGACUAUGGUGCUCUUCGCACCUACUCCUAGGUUGAGGGACUGAUUACCUCAUCUUCUGUACAUAGUUCUACUGUCUUCAAGUUAUGUCCUAGAAUUUGUAUUGAUAAAGCCACUGGAUGGCGAAAUGUCUACAAUAAAGAUACCCAGAUGUUGCACAUGUGUCUUAAUCUCAUCAGCACAUACUAUGUUGAUAAACUUAAUUAUGUAGUUUUUAUGUUUUGUUGCACAUUGUAUGUAUCAUGUAUUUGCACCAUCAGCAUGAAUGGGAUACUGAAGGCAGCAGAAAUGGUACAAAUCAGUUUGGUUUAAAUUUUCAAAGUAGUCAGACAUAUAGAUAAGUUGUCCCAUGUAGUGGCAGUUUAUUAGUGUUAAGUGAUAUUACAUACAGUAAGCCAUUUCCUCUCAUUCAUCUAGCUACUGCAUUUCUAUAACUUCCUGAUUCAUAUUUUGUGCUUAAUACCAUUGUCUGCCAUAAAUGUCUUGCUUUAGCACCAGCGCAACUGAGAUAUUUCUCCUCCCAUGCACCUUUGAAGUCCUUUGUUUUAUGGUAGACCUAGCAUUACUCCGUGGUGAAGUAACUAACACCACCCUCACUCCAUCGUGGAUACAUAACCUGCUGUUGUGUAAAGAAGAUACUUAUGUACCACUCAGAGCAGGUAUUAAAGGAAAUGUUGUGCUGUGAGUGACUUCAUCAGUCCUAAUAGAGAGAGAUGACUGAGAGUAAAUAUAGUUGGGAGUCAGGUGCCAAUUUGUGAGAGGGUGGUAGUAGUAGUAGCACAGCAGUGGUGAGAUGGUUAGGACUUAAGAUGGGCCUGUCAACCUGGGCCAGUAGUCCUGCUUAUGUACUUCUCUGUACAAAAUAUUUGUCUAAGUAUCAUGUUAACAACAGUCUCCAAAAUGGGCAAUAUUCUGUUGAUCAACAGUUUGGAUAUGGUGUAACUGCAGGGCUUCUGUUGGAUUGUAUUACUGGCAGCAGUUACAGCAGUCUUUAUAUGCAUUUGUCUUCGUGUAUCUUCCUCCUGGAUGACUAUCCUUGCUUCAUUGAACUUCACUAGGUAUUUAAAAUUGUCUCUGUUGCAUUUAUAGUUUCCUCUUAGUUGCAGGCAUUCUAGUGCUCAUGGAUCCUAAUCUCCAGGGAUCUAGUAGUUUUCCCUACAUUGUGUUCCACCCCUACAUGGUACUAUGUAUACUCUUGUGUUUGUGGUAGUCAGUUUUGUGUUAUUGCAUCAGGUUUUUAAUGGUAGCAGAAGACUUGAUGUCUAUUUUAACACAUUUUAAGUACAAAAACAAUGUAACUGGAUGAGUGUUACCCGUAAUGAGAAUGCAUGUUGCAUGUUUCCUGCAAUCAUGCAUGAAGUGUAGAUGGAAAUGUAGCGAGAUGAAUAAAUGUGUGAUGCAUGUGUACUCAUUCUGAAGGAACUGUGGGUUGGAAAUCCUGCUAAGCUCUUAAAAAGGAGCCUAUUAUAGUUCCAUUACAGCUGCCUCCAAUUCUGGAGUUUAGUGUAACAUGAUACCUACAUCAGUGCUUUAUGUAGCAGAACAAUGCAGGAGACCUACUGGCCCAGCCUGACAACUUUUCUCAAGUACUUCCCGUCCCACCACUCCCAUACUAUUGCUACUUCUACCAUCUCUAAUACUACUACUACCACCUUUAAUACUACUACUACCACCUUUAAUACUACUACUACCACCUUUAAUACCACUACUACUACCACCUUUAAUACUACUACUACCACCUUUAAUACUACUACUACCACCUUUAAUACUACUACUACCACUUUUAAUACUACUACUACCACCUUUAAUACUACUACUACUACCACCUUUAAUACUACUACUACUACCACCUUUAAUACUACUACUACCACCUUUAAUACUACUACUACCACCUUUAAUACUACUACUACCACCUUUAAUACUACUACUACCACCUUUAAUACUACUACUACCACCUUUAAUACUACUACUACCACCUUUAAUACUACUACUACCACCUUUAAUACUACUACUACCACCUUUAAUACUACUACUUCCACUUUUAAUACUACUACUACCACCUUUAAUACUACUACUACCACCUUUAAUACUACUACUACCACCUUUAAUACUACUACUACCACCUUUAAUACUACUAUUUCCACUUUUAA